This 255-nucleotide ribosomal RNA is filed under the name uncultured bacterium. RNAcentral's name for it is "partial 16S ribosomal RNA". It matches the Rfam family "Bacterial small subunit ribosomal RNA", at positions 524 to 776 of the family's 1533-position model. The record is from RNAcentral.
GACGAACCGUGCGAACGUUAUUCGGAAUCAUUGGGCUUAAAGGGCGCGUAGGCGGGCGACCGCGUCGAUGGCUGAAAGCCCCCGGCUUAACCGGGGAACGGGCCACGAUACGGGUCGCCUCGAGGCGAGGAGGGGGACCUGGAACGUCCGGUGGAGCGGUGAAAUGCGUUGAGAUCGGACGGAACACCGACGGCGAAAGCAAGGUCCUGGACUCGUUACUGACGCUGAGGCGCGAAAGCCAGGGGAGCGAACGGG